This 492-nucleotide ribosomal RNA is filed under the name uncultured bacterium. RNAcentral describes it as "partial 16S ribosomal RNA". It matches the Rfam family "Bacterial small subunit ribosomal RNA", at positions 29 to 507 of the family's 1533-position model. The record is from RNAcentral.
AGUGAACGCUGGCGGUAGGCCUAACACAUGCAAGUCGAACGGCAGCACAGUAAGAGCUUGCUCUUACGGGUGGCGAGUGGCGGACGGGUGAGGAAUACAUCGGAAUCUACUUUUUCGUGGGGGAUAACGUAGGGAAACUUACGCUAAUACCGCAUACGACCUACGGGUGAAAGCAGGGGAUCUUCGGACCUUGCGCGAUUGAAUGAGCCGAUGUCGGAUUAGCUAGUUGGCGGGGUAAAGGCCCACCAAGGCGACGAUCCGUAGCUGGUCUGAGAGGAUGAUCAGCCACACUGGAACUGAGACACGGUCCAGACUCCUACGGGAGGCAGCAGCGGGGAAUAUUGGACAAUGGGCGCAAGCCUGAUCCAGCCAUACCGCGUGGGUGAAGAAGGCCUUCGGGUUGUAAAGCCCUUUUGUUGGGAAAGAAAAGCAGCAGGUUAAUACCCCGCUGUUCUGACGGUACCCAAAGAAUAAGCACCGGCCAACUUCGUG